GGCGAACGGGUGAGGAACACGUGAAGAAUCUGCCUUCAACUCUGGGAUAACUCCGGGAAACCGGGGCUAAUACCGGAUAUGAGCCUUGGCCGCAUGGCCGGGGCUGGAAAGUUUUUCGGUUGAAGAUGACUUCGCGGCCUAUCAGCUUGUUGGUGAGGUAACGGCUCACCAAGGCGACGACGGGUAGCCGGCCUGAGAGGGCGACCGGCCACACUGGGACUGAGACACGGCCCAGACUCCUACGGGAGGCAGCAGUGGGGAAUAUUGGGCAAUGGAGGAAACUCUGACCCAGCGACGCCGCGUGAGGGAUGAAGGCCUUCGGGUUGUAAACCUCUUUCAGUAGGGAAGAAGCGAAAGUGACGGUACCUACAGAAGAAGCACCGGCUAACUAUGUGCCAGCAGCCGCGGUAAUACAUAGGGUGCAAGCGUUGUCCGGAAUUAUUGGGCGUAAAGAGCUCGUAGGUGGUUCGAUACGUCGGAUGUGAAAAUCAGGGGCUCAACCCCUGACCUGCAUUCGAUACGGUCGAGCUAGAGUGUGGUAGGGGAGACUGGAAUUCCUGGUGUAGCGGUGGAAUGCGCAGAUAUCAGGAGGAACACCGAUGGCGAAGGCAGGUCUCUGGGCCAAUACUGACACUGAGGAGCGAAAGCGUGGGGAGCGAACAGGAUU
Molecule: ribosomal RNA, 667 nt
Filed under: uncultured Intrasporangiaceae bacterium
Lineage: Bacteria; Bacillati; Actinomycetota; Actinomycetes; Micrococcales; Intrasporangiaceae
Description: bacterial SSU rRNA
Rfam family: Bacterial small subunit ribosomal RNA
Source: RNAcentral